CGUGUAGGCGUCUCGCUAAGUCAUGUGUGGAAGCCCCGGGCUCAACCUGGGAAAGACAUGUGAAACUGUCGAGAUAGAGUAUAGUUAAGGAGGGCGGAAUUCCUGGUGUAGCGGUGAAAUGCGUAGAUAUCAGGAGGAAGGCCAGUGACGAAGGUGGCCCUCUGGGCUAUAACUGACGCUGAGGCGCGAAAGCGUGGGGAGCAAACA
RNAcentral lists this ribosomal RNA (207 nucleotides) under uncultured bacterium. Its description in RNAcentral is "partial 16S ribosomal RNA". It matches the Rfam family "Bacterial small subunit ribosomal RNA", at positions 568 to 774 of the family's 1533-position model. The record is from RNAcentral.